Mus musculus (house mouse) is the source of this 6225-nucleotide long non-coding RNA. RefSeq annotates it as predicted gene, 41776. The transcript has 2 exons. NCBI's taxonomy places the organism in Eukaryota, Metazoa, Chordata, Mammalia, Rodentia, Muridae. The record is from RefSeq and is a predicted model, not a curated record.
UAUUGCUGCUUUGUUCUUUAAGACAGAGCCUUGUUCUAUAGCCCUGGCUGUCUUGGACUCUAGCUUCUCCCAAAUCAGAGACAGUCGAGAGCACACCUGGCUUGUUCUUCACUAUUUUCAAUGAAAAGUAAAAUCCUCCAUUUCCCUCACAUACCCUUCCAUCACCUGAGGCCAGCAGCCCGCCCGGUCCUCAUUACUUCCCAGCAUCCAUCCCUGCUCUGGAAUUACCCUGGGCAGGGCCUCUGGGACAAACCUCCUGGGCACUGUAAUUUCCCUGGCUGCAGUAUGUCAUUAGACUUGGUGCUGAUGACGCGACGCCCCGUGUGAAGCAAAGAUUACAGCCCCUGCUCGGACGAGACAGGACAGUCUAGCCCUGGAACAGCCCUCCCUGCAGAGCUUCUCCCUUCCCGUAGCCACUGGCAUCUCCAGCCUCCUGUUAAGACCCACAGCAAGGCUUGGAAUGCCACAGACUUCCAUUCUCUCCCUAGGGGGUCACUCAUGAGCCUCCACAUCCUCAUCUGUAAAAUGGGCUAAAGUGACAGCAUUCCCUUCAGGACCACACAACACAACUUGUGAGAAUCUCUCCCACACACAGUGGGCUUGCUUUGUUGUACUUUUUAUAACUACUGUACGUGUGUCCGUGAUGCGAAUAUACGGGUGUUGGAGAGAAGAGGAUAGCUCUCUAAAGACGAGUCUCUCAAUCUAUCUCGGCAUGGGUUCUAGGAUCAAGUUCAGAGCAUGAGGUUUGGGUGGUGUCCUAGGUAGGGGUACUAUUGCUACAGUGAAACACCAGGACCAAGGCAACUUGGGUCUUACACUUCCAUAUCACUGUUUAUCAUUGAAGGGAGUCGGGCCAGAACUCAAAUAGCGCAGGAACCUGAAGACAGGAGCUGAUGCGGAGGCCAUGGAGGGCUGUUCUCUGCUGGCUUUACUAGCUUGUCCUCAUGGCUUGCUCAGCCUGCGUUUUGUUUUGUUUUGUUUUGUUGUUUUGCUUUGUUUCGAGACAGGGUUUCUCUGUGUAGCCUUGGCUGUCCUGGAACUCACUCUGUAGACCAGGCUGGCCUCGAACUCAGAAAUCCACCUGCCUCUGCCUCCCAAGUGCUGGGAUUAAAGGUGUGUGCCGCCACUGCCCAGCUCGGCUUGCUUUUUUAUAGAACCCAGGGUCACCAGCCCUCAGUGGCACCCUCCCCCAUCAUUCACUAAUUAAGAAAAUGCCCUAUAGGUCUGCCUACAGCUGAAUUUUAUGGAGGCAUUAUCUUAAUCGAGGUUCUGUCCUCUCAAAUGACUAAAGCUUAUAUCAAGUUAGCAUAAAACUAUUCAGUGCCACUGAUGGACACACAAACACAUCAAUGUAAAGCCACAACCUUCCCUUUCUUGUUCAUACCCCAAGAUCACACGUUAAUAUAAACAUCACAGCAUAAAACAUUUUACAGACUUACUUUAAAAAGUCCCACAGUCUUAGGAAUCCAAGCACUUUCACCGGCUGGGCCAUCUUGCCAGCCCCUAGGCUGUUCUAAUUGUGACUACUCUGGUGUUUGUGGUUGUUAUUACCACCCUAAGAGGGACAGGUUCUCAUUCACUUUUUGGGAAGAAAAUAACAAGAACCACCUCUUUGUUUUCAUGAGGUAUCUGAAAGUAAGAAGAUGCCCACUGUUUGGGAGGGAAAUUUGGUAGAAAUAUGAAUGCAUCCCCCCACACUCCCGGAAACUCAGUCACUGAGCAUAGAUUCAUCCAAGCAGCCCCUGCAGUGUCUACUAUGUUGCUGGGUAUCAUUCUAGAUGCCAGGGAGCUAGGCUGUACAGUCACAGAGCUGACCCUGUGCCACAGGAGUACAACAGCAACCAAAACAACAAAUAGAGACAAUCAUACGCACAGUACAACGACACUGUGAAGAAAACUCUGGCAGGAUAAGAUAGGAGAGGUGCUGGGACACCUGGUGACAAUUUCAAUCAUUGUGCUCAACAGGGCCAGAGCUCUCUCUGCUCGUACUUGAAACCAAAGUGCCCACAGAAGAAGAGAAACUGGCAGGUCUGAAGCCACCAUUUACUGUAACCCUCAGAAAGGAGGAAGCGUCCUCCAUGUGUCUGGUAUCCCUUCCGCCAAAGCUUCUCUGAAAAUGUCAGCCCCAGGUCUAUCUUCAUCUUCUGGGGUUCAUUGAAAGGAUGUCAAACCUGGGGCCUGGGCCCAGCUUCUCAAAUACCCAGAGCGGCUGGUUAUGGCCUCGCUGGAAGGAGGCUCCUGAAUGAGUCUGUGUGGGUCUAACAGUCACCUCAGAGAUUCCAAAGUGGACCCAGCCUGUCCCCACAGAGGCUGUGUGCACCCCCCAACCCCUCCCCACCCCUAAAUCAUCCCUGAAUUAAUCAAUGAGCGUGCAUUGGUUCGAACUCUCCAGGAGCCUCCUCCAGCGGCCACUUUGUGUUCAGUAGAUUAAUUGCAGCUGGGGGAGGGGAGGGAAUCCAUUUUUAGAAAAUCAUUACUUUCAGAAAGAGAGGGGGGCUACUUCUGGCUGAGGGAAAAGUGCUGAGUUGGCAGCUUGAGGCCUGCAGCUCCAGCGCCAGGAAACCGGGACUGUACCGUGCAGGCUGUUCCCUGAAAAGCCUGUGUCCACACUGCCCGAAGGCAGGCCACCCUGGCUUUGGAGCCAUGGCUUCUGGUGGCCUUGCCUCCUGACUGGCCUGUGUUCAACAGUUUGAUGGCAUCCUAAACAGAAGGGCUCUCACCCCGGUGUCGACCAUCCCCCACAAUCCAUUCGCUAUCUUCUCUCCAGCCCACUUUGCUGUGCAUACCACCCCGAGGACACUGUCAGCCCUGUCUAGAGAAUGUCUAGACAUGUCUAGAGAAUGAUGAAGGUCGGAGACUCCUAAUCUCCACUCCCUCAAACUGAUCAUUUCAUUGAUUUAACCGAAUGAAAUUGUUGCAUCUGUAGGGUCAAAAUUAGCGAUCCCACAUGGCUCAGCUAGCUCUCUGGGUGUAUUUUCUCAAUAAUCCCCAUUCUGGCCCCACAGGGCAGGUCGAAUACCUAUUUGUGUUUCAUAAAUGGAGGGCCAAAAGUGUUGGGUGACUCACCAAAGUGAGCACUCCAACCCAACUGUGCCCAAUUCCCUAGCCAGUAACUGUGAGCCAUUUAUUGUUUGCCAUAUUCUAGGCACCCUGCUUGCCAUUGACACAUCUGGAAUAGCAGUGGACUUGAGUCCGCUUUCUUUGAACUGUUGGGAAUACAAACCAACAAAGAGGUCCCUGUCACUCUGGGCUGUGUCUCUGGGUGCAUGUCUGCCUCAGCUACAAGCUGUGUAGGGUUGGGUCUUCUGGGGCUAAUCAUUUACCCUCUGAAGAAUAGACUGUUUCAGGAAGAUCCGCCAGCAUCCUCUGCAGGAUAGCAUGAUCUUGGGAGAGUCCUUGGUGUAAACAAACAUUGCAAAUCCUGGGAACUGGGUUUAGAGGUCAAAAGGCUUCUGACCUUUCAAACUAGAAUUUACUUAAGAAAACACAGGCACCUGCCUUGCUCACCUUAACCCUGCCCUACCCAGUGAUUACACAGCUAAGUGAUCAAAUCAGACCUAAAACUUCCUGUGGAGGAACCUCAAGAAAUUGCCUGACCAGCAACAGGGGGUGACGGCUCGUGUACCCACAGGGAGGUCCAUUAUCGAGACUGUUUGGGCAGUCCUCAAGAGAAUUAUCAGGACACUAAAAAGAGGCAGACCGAACCUCCAAGGGAGGCUGGAAGAGAUGUCUACAGAACAGCCCUGGGCACAGGCAGUGGAUGGUGUCUUCUGCAGCAGAGUUAUCAACUUCCACCUAACGCCAGAUGAUCUGAAGAUGCCAGACUUCAGAGUGGUCUGACAGCCACCCCACCAGAACUCACACUCCAUACCCAAAUCUGGCCUCCUUCUAGAACUCUGUGCCUUCCAAAUCCAGAGGCUCUGCUCCCACAGCAGGGGCAAGGAAGUGAGUUAUGGGACACCGGCCACACAGGAUUACAGCUCAGGUCAUAGUUGCCAGUUGACUUCCUUAGCCUCCAAAGGCCUCCAUUCUUGCGCGCGGGGUGGGGGGUGGGGAUCCUAAGAAAGAUUAACAUCACUCCUGGCACCCAGUGAUGUGCCUUUAGUAUCAAAGGUUGGAGAGAGCACUCGUUGCUCUUACAGAGGGUUCUGGGUUGGACUGUCAGCUCCCACCCACAUGGCAGCUAUCUGUAACUCAAGUUCCAGGGGAUCUGACAUCCCCAGGCAUCAGGUACACAUGUAGUAUUAUUGAUAUGUGUAUAAUGAGCAUCAAUCUAAAACAUGAAUGGGAAGUCCCAGCUCAGCUCGUGCAGGCAGAGAACUUAAGAGGGACCUCACAGAGCCCCAGGGUGAACAGAACCACGGGACUGGUGAAGCCGUCAGUCAUGAACAUCCCAGCGACGGAAGAAUGAAGCCUGAACUCCCUCCGUCAUCACUGGAGGGGUGAGGAGGUGGAAGCCUCCAUUUCCCGGGUGCCACAGUCCCCUCCCCUGAGGAGGAUGAAUCAGGACGGUGUGGAAGGAGCAAGGGCCAAUGGAUCCUGGUUCUUGAGGAUGUCCCUGCUCUUCUGUCCCUGACCCAAUCCUCCCCCCACCCCAGUCUCCCAGGGAUACUUUUCCUCCUGAAGUCAGCCACAGGGCUCCCUCUAGUCACUUCCCAAUAUACAAUGAGAAGACCUGGGUCACACCUAACAGAAGGGUAUCUAGGGGAGGGGGUCCUCCAGACCUGGGAACUAAGCCAAAGUCCGGGCCGAUUCACCUUUGUCUCCACUGAUAGACCUCCCAGCCUCCCUCCAAGCCAAGACAAAGCUCUGAACAACAAGGGAUGCAGUAUACAUUUUAAAAAUUGUUUAAUGGAACAUAAACUCCUUUAGAAAAACAUUCAGCUAGGUGAUAACACCCAUAGAAAAAAACACCAAUCUUGUGUUUAUCUUUUUUUUUUUAAUUUGGCAUGUUAUUUGCAUUUAUAUUAAAGCAAAGUGCAUCUUUUCUUUAUUCUUCUCGUUUAUACACAUUGCACAAUACAUAAAUAAUGAUGCUUAUAAAACGUCUUUAUAUUUACAAGUAAUAAUAUAUUUAUAUAUAACAUAAAAUACAUUUUUCUUUAAUAAAUCUCAGCUUUUUUUUUCUUUUAAGGAGUCCUUUCCUCUCUCAAAGCACUACAAUGCUAAAUUUCCAAUGAGAAUGCUUCUCUUGUUCAUUUAAACCUUUGUAGUUAGAAAAAUAGCUUAUGUUAAAUUCUAAACAUGCUCAUUGAGCUAAGAACAGUGUCAAAGUAUCAUACGAGCGAGCGUAUGAGCUGAGAGAAGGGCUGGGAGCCAGCCAAGGGAUGGUACCUUUGUUGUGACGGGGCUACACCCUUCUCAGCAGGAAGGGGGGGCACUGCGCAGGUCCCUCCCUGAUGCCCCUCGCUGGUCUACAGAGCUCAGCACACAGGAUGGGGGAUGGGGUGCUGAGCUGACUUUCCACAUCUGGGAGAAACCUGAUGAAAAAACCACCACGGCUGGGACCCGGUGGAAGGGCCUGAGAGGGUACUGGGGUAGCAAUACUGUGACUGGGGCUGUCCCGGCAGCCCUUGGGAAGCCCAUCUCAAGAGAGAGAUCCAGGAGCAGAUGGCCAAAAAAGACAGACUCGACAAUGGCAGCGGGUGACAGGCGGCAGUAAGACAGGGAUGAAAACAAUUGGUUCUGGUUCAGCCUUCUAGCAGGCUGGCUUCUCAGAAGCCUGUGGAUAGGCCCGUGUCCUGUGGGGGCGGGGGCGGGGCGGGGCGGGGCAGCUUCGGCAGGCUGGAGCAGAGCUUGGCACCUGCUGCCAGUCUGCCCAGGUACUGCCUCUGCCCCACCGAGCGUGUCCAAAAGGCUAGAGAGACACACAGCUUGGCACUAUGAGCCUCUCAGCCGGGGGCAUCCAUAAAGAACACACACACAAAAAAGCACUUCCCCCAUCUGUCGCUCGGGUACACCCCUACGCACGGACAACCGAAACGCUGAUCCAAAGGGAAGGUGGUGCCCACUUUCACACACCAUGCUUGGCAGUGCUGACUCUCGUUUCCUGUCUUCGUAUAUGGGGGGAGGGGGUGUCCUGCCAACCACACCCACCACCUCAAAACAAAAACAAAACACACACACACAACCCAACAAAAAUCCGCACCAUAAGCUAAUUUCUCAAAGAACAAGACAAGCGGGACACACGGAUGACGAGAAAGGAGGAGGAAAAAAAAAAAAAAA